Aethalodelphis obliquidens (Pacific white-sided dolphin) is the source of this 268-nucleotide long non-coding RNA. RefSeq lists it as uncharacterized. The record is from RefSeq and is a predicted model, not a curated record. The transcript has 3 exons. Lineage: Eukaryota; Metazoa; Chordata; Mammalia; Artiodactyla; Delphinidae.
GUUUCUGUGGAAAGGGAAAUAUGGCCGCAACAAACAAAAAUGAUAGGACAUGGCUCUGACAGGUGACAAUCCAGAAGAAUAGCUCUUGAGUACCCUAUCUGAUUCUUGGGAAACUAGAGGAUGUCAUCGUCGCCCUAGCCCCCUGCGUCACCACCCCUCUGGUUGCAAUACAGAAGCUUUUUGGGAAGUGAUACUAACAAGAAUCAGAUUUUCCUGGACCCGUAACAGAGGAAACAACUUCUGGCACAGUAAUUCUUUGAACUGGAAC